Molecule: transfer RNA, 85 nt
Filed under: Felis catus (domestic cat)
Lineage: Eukaryota; Metazoa; Chordata; Mammalia; Carnivora; Felidae
Also listed under: 3 other names
Rfam family: tRNA
About the family: Transfer RNA (tRNA) molecules are approximately 80 nucleotides in length.
Source: Rfam by way of RNAcentral
GCCUCAGUGGCUCAGUCAGUUAAGCAUCUGACUUUGGCUCAGGUCAUGAUCUCACCUUUCAUGGGUUCCAGCCCCAUGUCAGGCU